Molecule: ribosomal RNA, 253 nt
Filed under: uncultured bacterium
Lineage: Bacteria
Description: partial 16S ribosomal RNA
Rfam family: Bacterial small subunit ribosomal RNA
Source: RNAcentral
UACGUAGGGGGCAAGCGUUGUCCGGAUUUAUUGGGCGUAAAGAGCUCGUAGGCGGUCUGUCGCGUCGGCUGUGAAAACUCGGGGCUCAACCCCGAGCCUGCAGUCGAUACGGGCAGACUAGAGUGCGGUAGGGGAGACUGGAAUUCCUGGUGUAGCGGUGAAAUGCGCAGAUAUCAGGAGGAACACCGGUGGCGAAGGCGGGUCUCUGGGCCGUAACUGACGCUGAGGAGCGAAAGCGUGGGGAGCAAACAGG